This 471-nucleotide long non-coding RNA is filed under the name Prunus persica (peach). RNAcentral's name for it is "long non-coding RNA (PPER_LNC008578)". Lineage: Eukaryota; Viridiplantae; Streptophyta; Magnoliopsida; Rosales; Rosaceae. The record is from RNAcentral.
UGGGCAGUUUUGAGAUCCUCGUGUCAUCACGAGCGCGUAGGAUUUCGCGGAUCUCGAUUCGGAGUCCGUUUGAGCCCCGAACCGAUUUUUCAUAUCGCGCGAUCCUUGGGUGCAGUGUCGUCAAAUCGUCGGAUCGCACUGAAUUUCGGAUAUGUCGGUCUACAUAAUUUCACGAUCGUGUAGGAUUCGACGGAUUGCGAAUCGGAGUCCCGGAUACUCCGAAAUCGCGAACCCUAGGGCUAGGGUUUGGAUUUUAAGCGAUAACGCGAUUUUGGCUAAUCCGACCGUCCGUUUCGGACCAAACUCGCAGAACAUGGCUCCUUCUCUGUAAGGAACCUUCAGAGGAGCCCAAAUUGGCCGAUCUGGCAGUAUAUCGCUUAGUAAGGCUUCGGGUCUCUUAAGGUCGUUCUAACCGUCUAAAAAGCUAAUGUGGGCAUAAGAGUAACUUUAAAAUGAGUGCACGUAUUUCUA